Molecule: long non-coding RNA, 2694 nt
Organism: Perca flavescens (yellow perch)
Lineage: Eukaryota; Metazoa; Chordata; Actinopteri; Perciformes; Percidae
Exons: 4
Source: RefSeq, a predicted model, not a curated record
UCACAUGGCCGGGGGAAAAAUGUUGUACUACUAACGCGAACUGUGAAGGGUAGACUGAUGAUGCGGAACCACGUAGGGCGCGGAGGCUGAGCCACAUGCGGUGCAGCAUAUAAUACAAGCAUAUGAGCAGAGGAAAAGACGGUUACCGUUAUUUUGUUUUUGUAUUAUUUUAACGUUGUUAGUGGAGAGAAACUGUGUGGUUUGUUUUACUUAACGUUACCUCUUUGUGUCCCGUCCUGCGCUUCACCUCCGCCCAGUACGGGUUUAUAUUUGAGGACUGAAAAAUGUCCACAGCUACUCCUCCUCCACCACCACCACCACCACCACCGCCCUCUCAUCCAUCCCAUGGACACCAGCGUAAAAGUAUUACUCCAUCCCCUGGGUAUGCAGCAAUACCAUAUUCUUCUGACAGCCCUCCAGUCCAAGAGACAAGUCCUUCACCAGAGGCUAUACAUGGUGCAGAGGGUAUACCAGCUUCAUCACUACUCUCAGUUCAAAAUGGACCCCAGUCUCCUCCGUCGGAAGGGCAAAAAGACAAUCCCUCUGAUAGUGAGGUGAGACACCAUCCCGUGCAGGAAACUGACCCUGUACCGCAGACAGAGCAGCAAGACGACGUAACUAAUCAGAUGGACCAGACUGGAGAGGACCAAUUGACCUGAAGCACUUUAGUUACUUAAAAACAUUUACCAGUACUUGAAAAGGCCGUUCUGAACUGCACAGAAACACUGUUGCAUGGUAGGUACAGUUGAGUGAGCACAUCACUUUAUGUUCAGGCCAAAGCUGUUUGGAUAUGUUACUUCAGCCUUCAAUCAUCAUUACCAUCAUCAUCCUCGUUACUUGCAGCUGAAUUGAUAAUUUAGUGCUUGGCUUAUUUUCAUGCAAAUUCUAGCCAUAUAGGCCUACUUUAUAGUGUCUUUGAGAAACUCUUAAGCUUAAAAAUAGAUAUUUUAGUUACAUAGCCAUACAAAUCUAAAUGAGCUUAUUGCAGAAAAAAACAAAAUUAUAAAUCAUAAAGCACUGGGUAAAAAAACUUUGAGGGUAUAUUGUUGCAGCUAUUGUCUCUCUGCUCCUGGAGACUGCACAUUUUUACAGCCUGGGUUACAAACUGGGGAUGUGGAUUUUAAAAGACAUAAUUUACCCAGGAGGGAAAUGUUUUGGUUGAAUUAAGGGAAUUGUAAGAUCAAGCAUAUUUGGAGCUUGACCUAUAUAGUUCGCACCAGUGUGCAAACUAUAUCUUUAUAAAGUGAAUUAGUGAUAAAUCACCUUAUGCAUGAAUCAUUCAUCAAUAAUAGCUUAAUUUUAUGCAUGAUCCAUGCUGAUGAAGAUACAAGAAAAAUAGAAAUGCCAGGCAAAAAUUGGAUACUGCCAAUAUUUAAGAGACCCCUCAAAAUUUCAUAAAGCAUCAUGUCUUAUUAAGACGAUCCGAGCUCCCCUGUAAUUGGCACACUGCUUAAGACCUGAAGUCAGGAUAUUUUGCAGUUGCGGCUUUAAUUUUAAGCACACUAUUUUAAUCUGUCUCUCUGAGUUCCCCACAGUUUUAUGGAAUUACUGUAUGUGCAAUACUAAAUAUUGGGAGUACCUCUUUAUUGACAGUAUAUAGAGUAAGAGUACUUAAAUGUACAAUUGCUUGUGAUUUUCUUAAAUUAUCUCAUUUUAUUGUUUUAUUGAAAUUCACAUUUGGAUCAAAUUUUGUUUUUGUCACUUUCCAAAAAUGUUUCCAGAAAUUAAACUCAAGCCUGCUUUGAACACAACAAAAGUUUCUUUUCUUUUCUGCUUCAAGUAAAAACUUGAAAAUACUUUGUUGUCAAUGCUUUAAAAUCAUUACAGUAUAUGCAGGAUGUUACAGCCAUGCUAGCUGCUCUGCGAGGCUGUACUUAGACAGGGCGGUGCUUUGAGCUAAAUGCUAAGGUCAGCAUGCUAACAUGCUCACAAUAACAGUGACAGCAUGCUGAUGUGUAGCAGUGUUUACCAUGUUAACUUCAGUUUAGUGUGUUAACAUGCAAAGAUUUGCUAAUUAGCAGUUAACAAUUCUACAUGUUUUAAGAGAUGUUGAUGAUGAUGAUGAUGGCAAUGCAUUUUUUUCUUACAUCCCAGCAGCUCCAAUUGCUACAUCAACAAAUACAAAAAAUUAAGACAACAAACAAGAAUACACACACUCCACAUAACGUUACAAUCACCAAAGGCAAUAUAUUCCAGACCCUUCAACUGUACAUUUAAUUUGGGAUUAAGUGCCAUGUUACAUUUUAGGAUUGACUGGUGCUCAAGAGUGCUUCAGUUUUACUCUGUGGAAUCGUGGAACCCUGUGUUUCUAAUUGAAGUAUCAAUUUGUAUUUACUGUUUAAGACAUGGUUGGGGUGAGAGACACUUUUAUUGGCCAGCCUUAGUAUGUUAUUAUGGUAAACUGAUUCAUAUUUUCUGAAGGGGUUGACCUACAAUCCUUGAGCAGAUUUUCAUUUGGUGGAACAGUUUUGACUUUAAAGUGGUGGACAAACACUUCAUCACAAUCACAUUAGUAAAAAGUAGUCUACUCACCCCAAAAGACUUAAAGCAGCAGAUAAAAUAAAUUCUUUGUUUUGUCCUUUUGAUAUUAAGGCUGCACUAUUUACAUGAAGACAAGUAUACCAGCAUUUGCUUAAUAGCAUGUCUACUAUAUCAUGUGAUUAUUGUACGUUAUGCAGCUCCAGAGCUGAUUCC